CAAGACAUUUCCCUGAAAACAUGUUUUUUUAUUUAAGAAGUAGAGGUCAGAUAAAAGCUUAUAUAAGCUGCUCUUUGUUACUUUCAGAAAACAGUUUCAUAAGGUUAAAAAUGGCUUCCAAAUUUAAGUUUUCUGUACCUCACUUUAUUUGAACAAUGGGAAUUAAGAAUCUAUUUCAAAAGUAAAUUAAUUUAAUUCCCAAGUGAAAACAACGUGCAGAAAAGAUUUUAAAUCUGGACUCUGCAUCCAGGAAUUGGUUCAGGUUCUUUUUCAUCUACUGUCACUCUUGUAUUACACUGAGGUUGUUCUUAUACCAAGUGAUACAAGCACAUCUAAUAUCUGUAAUUAACAUGUUGAGAUUCCUAUGAAAACUUUUUAUAAGGGCAGAAAAAGGAGGUUAUUAUCACUCUGCUGCAAUUUUGUUCUGAGCACCAGAUGUACUUCCCCAUCUCCUGCUCUCCCCUCUACAAAAAGAUUUUAAUCCUCUAUUUAAUUUCAAAACUGGUAUAAGCCAAACCAUUUAGGUCAUCAACCUCACACUGAAAAUGUCUUGAUACCUCUGAUACGUUUUUUCAACUUUUAGAUUAAUGAAUAGUUUUUUUCCCACCAAAUGAAAGCAAUCAAGUAGUUAAUCCUUUCAUGUGCAAUUAGCAGCUCUGACCUCCCUGUUCUUUAAAAUGAGGGUCACUGGGAGGUAAAGGCCAGUUCUGGGCCUUUCCUUUCAUAUCAGAAUACCCCUUCACUAACUAUCUCUUCUCUUUCCAAAAACAUCAGAGAGCAAGGGGGAAAAAAACAGGCUUCUACUUCCAUUAGCAGUAACUUAAACAGCCAUAAGUUAAAGGGGGAGGAAAAGGAAGAGCAUCUCUAUCUAUCUCCCUUCACAACAGAAGACAUCUGGCCUCCUGUGGGGAGGCCCCAGAUAACAAAGAACCUGUCAUUACAAACCUCUGAGAUGUGUUCAGAAAGCCAUUUUACCUGCAGUCUGGCUCAUUCAUUUCCUGCCACUGAAGCCAUCUGCUUUUGCUUAUUGUGGGUAUUAUUGUUCUUUGUUUGGCCAGGAGUGUGAAGUGGCUUCACUUUAGCAUGCCUGUAUGCUUGGUCAGAGGAAAGAUUUAAUCCUUUUCUCAAAAUGAGUAAGAAGGAGCUGCAAAAAACAGUUCCUUUCCUGGAAGGUAGCACGAAGUCAUCCAAGCUUAGGUUGAAUAAAAGGUCAUGUCAGUGGAUGGGGUAAAGAUAUAUUGAGAUUGAAAAGAGAUGACAACUUUGAAUCUACAGCAGAAACCUUCCAAGGUACUUGUAAUCCUACCUGAUUUAAGCUCUUUGCCACUGCUUCUGGCAAUUUUUUUUUCAGCUCAAGUCUCUCUGGUUUUUAAGUUUCACUUUGGCUUCUGCAGCCCCAGAUGUAUAAUAAUCCAUUUGUACUCUCCUUUUACAUUGAGUUUCAGUAUUUUCACUCUGUUUUUUUUUUUGUCUCAAUGGUUUGCUUCAAAAAUUAUGUCUCUUAGCAAAUGAAGAUCUUAACAUACUUAUAUAAAACAGAAGUUGAUGCGAAAAUCCAGUCCACCUACCUCUGAUAAAUUUUCCAUCACUCUCAGGUACCAUUGACUUCUGUGUCUGAAAGGGCUGUGUGCCGGCAGAGAUCGUACAGAUUGUUUUGCAGCAAAAUGGUGAACACGGCAAGGAUCACAUAUUACUGCCAUGGUUAACAGCUUCUGAAGAUAAAUUGGAUGCUGUAGAAUUUUGAAAGUAACACAUUCACCUUUAAAAACACCCAUGGCCGUGUGGUUUCUUCACCACUACCUGCCGGAGGAAAAAAAUGGAAUAUUCCUUAAGCCUCACAGCAAGAGGUGGAAACUGCUUCUCCAGCGCAAACCGACUUUGUAUUUUCACCUCACUGAAAAUGGAAGUCUUUGUCUCACUGUGCAGCAUCUUUUCUGCAGAGGAAUACUACUCUGAGUUACAGCUGAAGUUUUCUCAAGCUGAAACUACAGACUUCAUUUCAAAUGUUGCUAAUGCUAAAUAAAAAGACUGUAUUUCAAAAACAUAAAAAAUAUUUUAAGCUUCAUUUUUGUGACUAAAUUAUUUGCCAAACACAGCAUGAAUCCUGGCUGACCUGAAGCUAUGUUUUCCAGUGAUCGCAGUGCAACUGAAACAUUCUAGCUUUUUCUGUUUACAGACUUUCGGACAAAAGCAGUGCUGUGGUCUAUUAUUAUUAUUUACAGCAGAGAAGCAAGCUUCAAUUUUCAGAAACUUCAUGUAAAGCACCUCAGUCUACAUAUUCAAGCAGAAGUAUUGCGAUACUUCCUCUCAAUCUUAUAAAAGUCUAUUUACAG
Molecule: long non-coding RNA, 2333 nt
Filed under: Gallus gallus (chicken)
Lineage: Eukaryota; Metazoa; Chordata; Aves; Galliformes; Phasianidae
Description: lncRNA (ENSGALG00010020412.1)
Source: RNAcentral